GGAGGAUGUAGCUCAGUGGUAGAACGUAUUCUUUGCAUGUAUGAGGCCCCGGGUUCGAUCCCCGGCAUCUCCA
RNAcentral lists this transfer RNA (73 nucleotides) under Erinaceus europaeus (western European hedgehog). Its description in RNAcentral is "tRNA-Ala (TGC) (tRNA-Ala-TGC-8-1)". It matches the Rfam family "tRNA". From Rfam's summary of the family: Transfer RNA (tRNA) molecules are approximately 80 nucleotides in length. The record is from RNAcentral. Lineage: Eukaryota; Metazoa; Chordata; Mammalia; Eulipotyphla; Erinaceidae.